GGCCGCGUAGCGUAAUGGUUAACGCGCCACUUUCCGGGGUUAUUAGGUGGAGAUUGCAAGUUCGAUCCUUGCCGUGGUCG
Molecule: non-coding RNA, 80 nt
Organism: Hymenopellis radicata
Lineage: Eukaryota; Fungi; Basidiomycota; Agaricomycetes; Agaricales; Physalacriaceae
Source: the annotation of a GenBank genome assembly